AUCGAUAUUGGCAGCUUCCAUG
RNAcentral lists this microRNA (22 nucleotides) under Heligmosomoides polygyrus. RNAcentral's name for it is "hpo-miR-10088-3p". Lineage: Eukaryota; Metazoa; Nematoda; Chromadorea; Rhabditida; Heligmosomidae. The record is from miRBase by way of RNAcentral.